Molecule: ribosomal RNA, 752 nt
Filed under: uncultured Acidobacteriota bacterium
Lineage: Bacteria; Pseudomonadati; Acidobacteriota
Description: bacterial SSU rRNA
Rfam family: Bacterial small subunit ribosomal RNA
Source: RNAcentral
UAGUUUGAUGAUGGCUCAGAAUCAACGCUGGCGGCGCGCUUAACACAUGCAAGUCGAACGAGAAAGCAUCCUUCGGGGUGUGAGUACAGUGGCGCACGGGUGAGUAACACGUGGGUUACCUGCCCUCCGGUGGGGAAUAACUCCGCGAAAGUGGAGCUAAUACCGCAUACGACCUUUGGGUGAAAGUCCUAGGACGCCGGAGGAGGGGCCCGCGGCCGAUUAGCUUGUUGGUGAGGUAAUGGCUCACCAAGGCUGCAAUCGGUAGCCGGCCUGAGAGGGCACACGGCCACACUGGCACUGAGACACGGGCCAGACUCCUACGGGAGGCAGCAGUGGGGAAUCUUGCACAAUGGGGGAAACCCUGAUGCAGCGACGCCGCGUGGGCGAUGAAGUCCUUCGGGGCGUAAAGCUCUUUCAGUGGGAACGAUAAUGACGGUACCCACAGAAGAAGCUGCGGCUAACUACGUGCCAGCAGCCGCGGUAAUACGUAGGCAGCGAGCGUUGUUCGGAGUUACUGGGCGUAAAGAGUGCGUAGGCGGUUACGUAAGUCUGGUGUGAAAUCUCCCGGCUCAACUGGGAGGGUGCGCCGGAAACUGCGGAGCUUGAGCACGGGAGAGGAAAGCGGAAUUCCUGGUGUAGCGGUGAAAUGCGUAGAUAUCAGGAGGAACACCGGUGGUGUAGACGGCUUUCUGGACCGUUGCUGACGCUGAGGCACGAAAGCGUGGGGAGCAAACAGGAUUAGAUACCCUGGU